This is a non-coding RNA of Erinaceus europaeus (western European hedgehog), 124 nucleotides long. The record is from Rfam. NCBI's taxonomy places the organism in Eukaryota, Metazoa, Chordata, Mammalia, Eulipotyphla, Erinaceidae.
AUGCUCUGUUUUAAGGUUGAUGUAGUGCUUUAAGAGGCUAAUACAGAAGGGUAAAUUAAUUCUCCAUAAAGCCUAUGGAAGAGAUUGCAAAGCUCUUCUUUGGAUUCAGUCUGGAGUAAAAAAG